CUCCGACCACUACUCCGACCACUACUACGACCGCUACUACAACCACUACUUCACUAACUACUACAAAACCUGCCCAGAGUACCUCACAUGCUCCAGAACACCCCUCAGCCAUGGCAGCAGGAGUUAUUUUGACAACUAUCAGCAUAUUACUUAAAAACAUCUUUGUUUACUGAACAUGCUGGUGAAAGAUCUGUCAGAUUAUGGAGCACUACAUUUGUCUGUUUGGGACAUUUAAAAAUUGAAUUGUAUAUUUUGAGCUUUUUCAGAGUAGCUAAUAAAGUGAGAGCACAUUA
Long non-coding RNA from Micropterus salmoides (largemouth bass), 293 nucleotides. RefSeq lists it as uncharacterized. The transcript has 2 exons. The record is from RefSeq and is a predicted model, not a curated record. NCBI's taxonomy places the organism in Eukaryota, Metazoa, Chordata, Actinopteri, Centrarchiformes, Centrarchidae.